This 458-nucleotide ribosomal RNA is filed under the name Chamaeleo laevigatus. Its description in RNAcentral is "partial 16S ribosomal RNA". It matches the Rfam family "Bacterial large subunit ribosomal RNA", at positions 1929 to 2615 of the family's 2925-position model. Lineage: Eukaryota; Metazoa; Chordata; Lepidosauria; Squamata; Chamaeleonidae. The record is from RNAcentral.
GGCCGCGGCAUAAANCCGUGCAANGGUAGCACAAUCACUUGUCCCUUAAAUGAGGACCCGUAUGAAAGGCAACAUGAGAGAGAACCUGUCUCUUAAGGUAAGCCAAUGAAAUUGAUCUGUCAGUACAAAAGCUGACAUAACAAAGCAAGACAAAAAGACCCUAUGGAACUUUAACAAAUUACCUACACAAAAUAGGUAAUAGUUUCAGUUGGGACAACUACAGAAAAAAUAAACCUCUAAAAUUUACCUAGACCAACAAGUCUAAACCACAACAUGACCCAGUAAUACUGAUUAACGAAACAAGCUACCCUAGGGAUAACAGCGCCACCUUCUCAAAGAGUCCAUAUCAACAAGAAGAUCUACGACCUCGAUGUUGGAUCAGGGUAUCCAGACGGUGCAGCAGCUGUCAAUGGUUCGUUUGUUCAACGAUUAAACACCCUACGCGAUCUGAGUUCAGA